AAGGGUCUUCAGGGCAGGGUGAAAUUCCCGACCGGCGGUGAUUUACAGUCGUUGAUAAUCUGUUACUUUUUAUGAAAUGUUAUAAUUUCUUGAUAUAGCUUUGAAGUGUAACAUACUCUAAAAAUAAAAGCUUUGUCAACUGAAUAAACUGUUUUAAGUCCGCGAGCAUGAGCUGAUGUGGUGUAAUUCCACAACCGACAGUACAGUCUGGAUGGGAGAAGACGAAA
RNAcentral lists this non-coding RNA (227 nucleotides) under Streptococcus intermedius. RNAcentral describes it as "FMN sequence". It matches the Rfam family "FMN riboswitch aptamer (RFN element)". From Rfam's summary of the family: The RFN element is a highly conserved domain that is found frequently in the 5'-untranslated regions of prokaryotic mRNAs that encode for flavin mononucleotide (FMN) biosynthesis and transport proteins. This element is a metabolite-dependent riboswitch that directly binds FMN in the absence of proteins. In Bacillus subtilis, the riboswitch most likely controls gene expression by causing premature transcription termination within the 5' untranslated region of the ribDEAHT operon and precluding access to the ribosome-binding site of ypaA mRNA. The record is from RNAcentral. RNAcentral also lists the same sequence under 1 other name. Lineage: Bacteria; Bacillati; Bacillota; Bacilli; Lactobacillales; Streptococcaceae.